GACGAACGCUGGCGGCGUGCCUAAUACAUGCAAGUCGAGCGAAGUUUUUCUGGUGCUUGCACUAGAAAAACUUAGCGGCGAACGGGUGAGUAACACGUAAAGAACCUGCCUCAUAGACUGGGACAACUAUUUGAAACGAUAGCUAAUACCGGAUAACAGUAUUUCUCGCAUGAGAGAUAUUUAAAAGUUGGUUAUGCUAACACUAUGAGAUGGCUUUGCGGUGCAUUAGCUAGUUGGUGGGGUAAAGGCCCACCAAGGCGACGAUGCAUAGCCGACCUGAGAGGGUGAUCGGCCACACUGGGACUGAGACACGGCCCAGACUCCUACGGGAGGCAGCAGUAGGGAAUCUUCCGCAAUGGGCGAAAGCCUGACGGAGCAACGCCGCGUGAGUGAAGAAGGAUUUCGGUUCGUAAAGCUCUGUUGUUAGGGAAGAAUGGAUAUGUAGUAACUAUACAUGUAAGAGACGGUACCUAACCAGAAAGCCACGGCUAACUACGUG
This 499-nucleotide ribosomal RNA is filed under the name uncultured bacterium. RNAcentral's name for it is "partial 16S ribosomal RNA". It matches the Rfam family "Bacterial small subunit ribosomal RNA", at positions 28 to 507 of the family's 1533-position model. The record is from RNAcentral.